Molecule: long non-coding RNA, 403 nt
Organism: Oreochromis aureus
Lineage: Eukaryota; Metazoa; Chordata; Actinopteri; Cichliformes; Cichlidae
Exons: 3
Source: RefSeq, a predicted model, not a curated record
GUCAGAUUUAAGCAGUGCGUUAAGGAAAAAGCCCACGCCUACAUUAUAAUAUAGGACUGAACUUGUGACAGCCCGUUAUUUACAGCCGGUCCGUCUGUUUACGACUUUGGAUUCACUGGUCGUCAGUAGCAACCGCCGUAGCAACAAAAGGCAGGAGAAGAUCCUCAGAAAUUAAUCCGCUGAUGAGCCGUCAGGCGCGGCGCGGAAAACUCACAGCAGCCGACCUCUGACGGCAGCAGGAUGAAGACUGAGAAGAUGAUCGAGUAACACUACGAGAAGAUCAGAAGAAAAUAGAGAUGAAGUCGGCAUGUACUGUGGCUCUUCUUCCAGGCCACAGUGUGGAAGAGGGUGGAGAUGAUGAAGAGCGAGCUGAGCCCCGCCCCAUACACCCAGGCUGACAGCC